GGAUGUGAGGGCGAUCUGGCUGCGACAUCUGGCACCCCAUUGAUCGCCAGGGUUGAUUCGGCCGAUCUGGCUGGCUAGGCAGGUGUCCCCUUCCUCCCUCACCGCUCCAUGUGUGUGCCUCCCGAAGCUGCGCGCUAGGUCGGUCGAAGAGGACGACCAUCCCCAAUAGAGGAGGACGGGUCUUCGGUCAAGGGUAUAUGAGUAGCUGCGAUCCCCAGCUAGAACCUCCAAACAAGCUCUCAAGAAAUGUUCUCAUUAUCUUGCCUAUGUAAUUGUAAUCCCUCUGUACAAUAUGUUCACAAAUAAAAUAAAUAAAUUAUAUAUAUAUAUAUAUAUAU
Dipodomys ordii (Ord's kangaroo rat) is the source of this 338-nucleotide non-coding RNA. Lineage: Eukaryota; Metazoa; Chordata; Mammalia; Rodentia; Heteromyidae. The record is from Rfam.